AACCAUAGAAACCUGCGGAGUACCUGCGGAAGGAUCAUCAUCGAAUUCAUAUCCCUCCAAUUCCGGAGGGGGACCCAUGAUAAACCCUUCUGUGCAUCGUAAACCGUUCACUUUGGCUGGUUUUGGUGGUGAGCGUGAGCUCGUCUCCAACCUCGCGUUCUCUCCCCCUAAGGGGGGUGGUGUUACGCGUGGCGGCCUGCCGAAGUCCUCCCAUUAAAAACACGUUUUCGAACACGUCUG
RNAcentral lists this unclassified non-coding RNA (240 nucleotides) under soil metagenome. Its description in RNAcentral is "partial contains 5.8S ribosomal RNA, internal transcribed spacer 2, and large subunit ribosomal RNA". The record is from RNAcentral.